UGAGAUCCAUGCAUACAUUUCACUGGAUUGAGGCAUUGAUAGAUUAUAGUUGCUUAUUACUGUACUGCUUUCAGUUUUAUAUAUCUAUCUAUCUGCAUAUCUAUCUGUGCCUGCUUAAGACCUAGUGGGGAGAUCGGCGGAGUCGGCGGCCGAACCCACUGGGAACUAUUCGUAGUUCUCACUCCACCACAUUGCAGGUCCGAGUUCGAGCGUCCCGGGAGAGGAUCGUGGCAAGGGCGUAGCGCCCUAGUGGUUCGUGUUUUAGCUAGCCUCUUCCUUUUUGUAUUAGCCCUGUAUUUAUGUUUGAGCGUAGAUGAUGUAUAAGGUGAGGUUGAGAGGAUUAUGUACACAUUGUAUAGUUGUGAAGAAUGCAAGUUGUAAUAACUGUAUAAAGUUAAGUGGAUCAAUAGAUAAGUAUAUCUCUCUUUUAUCACUUGUAUACCUUACUUGUGUUGCUUGCUCUUGAUUGUUAAGCACUAAUUGUGCUCUCGUGGUUGUUAAAUGAUUGUGUCCGUAGUCAAGUUAUUUCCUGGGAACUUGUGGUACACAAUCUUGUUGUUGGUGCCUUGGGCGGACAGGGAAGGUGCUGUCCGUUCGGCGGUCCGUUCGCCGCGCCUGAACCGUGCCAAAUUGGUAGCGGGCUCGGGGCGGGGGCGUGACA
Molecule: long non-coding RNA, 661 nt
Filed under: Ananas comosus (pineapple)
Lineage: Eukaryota; Viridiplantae; Streptophyta; Magnoliopsida; Poales; Bromeliaceae
Description: long non-coding RNA (ACOM_LNC043757)
Source: RNAcentral